ACAGCUCUUCUGACACUUCCUGUCUGGUUUUGAAGCAGGCCUCACCCGUGUCUGAGUUCUUGUUUUGACAUUGUUCUGAAAGAUGUUUCAUUUGGGUGUUUUAUUAAAUCGUUUCUUGUAGGGUUGGUGACGGAACCGUUUGGACACUGUUUUGGCUGCUGCCAUCCCACUGAAGAACGUAAGAUUACUGAAAACGUGUGCCGAGAGUUGAAGCGAAGUAAAAGCAAUGGCGGACUGUAGAGCUGAAGAUUGUGAGGAGGAAAAAGACAAAUCCAGCGGUCGACAGGGACCGGAGAGAAGACUGAUCAUUCAAUCCACAUCAUUAAACGACCCCAAACUCAGCAAACUUAAAGAGGUUUUGAUAGACUGGACCAACAGAACUCUGAAAGUCGAACACAUUGUGGUGAGAUCGCUGGAGGAAGACCUGUAUGACGGACUCGUCCUUCAUCACCUGCUACUAUGCAUGUGUGUUCUGAUUGUAGGCAGGUUGGCUGGUGUUCAGUUACAGGUAGACGAGAUUGCGUUGAGCGCCGACGCACAGGUCCGCAAACUAGAGGUGAUCCUCGCAGCUCUGAACGAGACCUUAGAGAUUAAUGAGGAAAAGAGCAAAUGGAGCGUCAAACUCAUUCACAGCAGGGACCUGUUGGCUACAUUGCAUAUUCUGGUUGCGAUGGCGAGGCGUUUCCAGCCUGAUCUGGUCCUUCCUGCAAAUGUCAGUGUGGAGGUUAUCCAGUGUGAGGUCACCAAAAGUGGCAUCAAGUCAGACAAACAGACAGAAUUAAUCACUUCUCAAAGCAAUUCCAGUGAAGAUCUUCAGAGAGAAUCUAACAAGGAAUGUCCCAUUGAUGAGCUCUUUAAACUGGAAGCGCACAAAAUUGAGACGGUGAAAAAGGCUAUUUUACACUUUGUAAAUAAAAACAUGUCAUCUCUUGGACUAAACGUGACUGACCUCGAAAAACAGUUUGCAGAUGGAGUGAUUCUACUUUUAUUGAUCGGUCAGUUGGAGGGGUUCUUUAUCCCGCUGUACCAGUUCCACCUCUGUCCUGUGGGUUUUCCAGAAAUGUCCUCGUGGUGGUGUAGUGACUUGUCUCAAUCCGGGUGUUGGAGGAUGAAUCCCAGUUGCCCCCGAGUCUGAGAACUUCAACCCACACAUCUUAACACGUGGCUUGUUGAGCACGUUACUGUGGAGACAUAGCGCGUGUGGAGGCUUCAUGCUAUUCUCCGCGGCAUCCACGCUAAACUCACCACGCGCCUCACCGAGAGCGAACCACAUUAUAGCGACCACAAGGAGGUUACCUCAUGUGACUCUACCCUCCCUAGCAACCAGGCCAAUUUGGUUGCUUAGGAGACCUGGCUGGAGUCACUCAGCACACCCUGGAUUUGAACUUGCAACUCCAGGGGUUGUAGUCAGCGUCUUUACUCACUGAGCUACCCAGGCCCCUAUUUUAAGCAGUAUUAAAGAAAAUAUUAAGAGUGAAAACAGGAAAUCAGAUGGGAAAAAUAGUGGGAAAGAAUGCAGAUUCGAACUGCGGUUGCUAAGACAACACUACACCUUCACACCGACACCGACUUUACACCCCACGCCACUGCAGCGACAUCUACUGUUUAGUUUGUCGUAUAUUUCUGUGGUUUCACUAGACUAUUGGGGUGCAAAUAGCUGCACUGUGUGGCAGAUGCUAUUUACAACGGGGUGCAAAUAGACACUCCAUUAAAUAUUUGGCUGUCAUCAACAACAAAGCCACACAAGGACCCGUUUUGAGGUUAUGAACUUUGCCAUAGAAACAAAUAAUUUCUCAGUCCAAGGACGUGAACAGCUCCAAGUAGAGUCUCCGAAUUAUCCACUCGUAAUUACAGUAAUUCCGACAGCACAUGAACGCAGCAUUAGUUGUUUGUAUUUCAAAAAUCUAAUUAAAAAAAAAUUACAAUUAUUGUUGUUGGUUUUUGUCAACCUCAAGCUCCAUAAUGUCACACUAGCAUUGGAUUUGCUCAUAGACAGAGGCCUUCCAGUCCAGUCUGUUAACCCUGAAGAUAUUGUGUCCCAAGACAUUUCAGCAACAGUAAAAUUGUUGUAUUACUUAUUCAAGAGGCAUAAAAACAAAUAACU
Molecule: RNA transcript, 2104 nt
Organism: Myxocyprinus asiaticus (Chinese sucker)
Lineage: Eukaryota; Metazoa; Chordata; Actinopteri; Cypriniformes; Catostomidae
Gene name: gamma-parvin-like
Exons: 13
Source: RefSeq, a predicted model, not a curated record